UAUCUAUGUAGCGUCUCGUGGUCAUUGGUCAUCACAUUUCAUUUUCAUAACAUAACCGAUAACCUAAAAAUUUAGUAAAAAAGUAAAAAUUUUGAUUGGAAAAAAAUGCAUCGAUAAGGGGGUGUGGGAAAUGGAAAUUAGUGGCUUUUUUGCUGUACUGUCUGCUAGUUUUUGCUCUGGGCACUGGCUAGAUCUCUUGUUUAAACAAUUUUAAUCAGCUGAAAGUGGCCUACAAAAAAAACCAAGAAGGAAAUGUAUAGCCUUGUGGCUAUGAAAGGCAAAAGAGAGAUAUAAAAAGUGUAUUGGCUAGUUGGAAGAAAGUCCACAUUGUCCAUGCAUAAUAAGUUAUUACAUUAUCAACAAAUAUCAAGAAGAUAGCAGGGUCACGAGCAUCAACUUCAUGAGUUCAAGAAUAUCGAGGAAAUCCAGCUCCUCGAUACUACUGGGCAAACUAGAAGAUUGAAGAGGACAAAUCCUUUUGAACUAGUUUGAGUGAUAGGUGAUAGUGAAAAACGGAGCAUAGUGCUUGUGUGCUGUGCCUGUGUAUGUUAGAAUAGUGCACGAUCUUGUUAGAUUAGAUAAGAGACGCUAUGGGGUAAGCUCUUCAUUUUAAGAAACAGUAGUAAUUUAGGCUAAAUUAAAAUUGCUCAUUGGUCAGUUAUGACCAGAUUGUUUUUUUAUGUUUGGCAAAAAGGACUUAAGUCAGAAUUGCACAUUGAUAAUGUUUUGAUGAUUUCUGGACCAGAAAAAAACUGUUGUAGAUGUAAACUGUAUGUACAGUAGAAUCUACUACAGUACUGUAGAAAUCAUCAAAACAUUAUCGAUGUGCAAUUCUGACUUAAGCCCUUUUUCCCAAACAUCAGAGAAUUGUAAUGUACAAUAAUUCUCCUAUCUGCUUUUUCAUGAAUUUUGUAGGAGACGAAAAACCAUUUUUAGGAUCAUCUGCUUUCACAUGUUUUGUAGUAAAUAGAUAGUUGAAUUUACUACAAAACAUGUCAAAAAAUAUAUGAAAACAGGAGGUGACUAUAAAAAAAGUUUUUAGUCUCUCUUACAAAACUCAUGAAAAAACAAAUCGGAGGUAUGUCACAUCAGUGACUAAGAAUGUCUAAAAAAUAUACUUUGAUGUCCCAAGAACCAAAUAUAACCUACAGUCCAUCUAAUUUACUUACUGUUGCACGUCAUUAUCUACGCCAGAGAUCUAAGUUGACAUAGUUGCCAAAGUAUAAAAAGAUCCUGAAUCCAUUUUAAAUCAAAUAUGUCACAUAAUUAUUGUAAACGUGGAUUAUACAACAAAACAAAUUAAUAUUCAAUGUAAAUAAGUAAAAACUUAAGAAAUAGAGAACAAGAAUUAAGUUAUAAUCUUUUAAGAUUUGCAGUGCAAGAGUUUUUGCACUGCAUUGUUAAUAAUUAAAAAACGGCUCCGAACUCUUGGCAAAAAGCCGGUAGGUUUCUUUGUAUAAGUAUGUCUACAAUAACAACUAAAAAAGUUGUCAGAUACCUCGAUUAUUCCAAGUCGUUAUAAAAUUAGGUGAAAUUUAUAUUUUUAUAGUAGAGGAUCUUUUUAUAUUAAAGUAAAUAAUAAAAACAGUAAAUAUAAUAAAUAAAACAGAUACUUAUAGUAAAGAAUAUAAACAAAUAUGAAGUGUCAUCACCGUAACUGUCAAAUAAAUGUUACCAAUUUAUUCUAAAAUGUCACCUUCGUUCGAUUACAGUUACAGUGUGAUCCGAACAAAUCUGCUUCAUAAAAACGCUUUAUAAUCCAUUUAUACAAAUUAAAUGAAACAUAUUAUUGUGUAUUUCUUUAGGUUAACAUUAAUAGAAAUCUUCAAAUAUUAUUUCUACGCGUAUAUAAUAAAAUAUGUCUAGUGGCUGUAAUUCCAGUGUACUCGGCAAAGUGAUUCUAAAAAAGAACACACCUACCGCCUAAAUAUUUCGUGUUGGUAUCAUGCAACCUCACAGGCUACGACGCGGAUGACGCGCAACAGUUAGUAAAUUAGACGAAGUAUGUAGAUAUAUACAGGGUGUAACAAAAAUACAGGUCAUAAAUUUAAUCACAUAUUCUGGGACCAAAAAUAGUUUGAUUGGACCUAACUUACCUUAGUACAAAUGUGCACACAAGAAAAGUUACAGCCCUUUGAAGUUAUAUAUAUAUAUAUAUAUAAUAGCACCAAGGGUCUUAGAGGCCCAUGGCUUGAAAAGUUUGUUUUUUUUCUUCAUUUUCACGUUUCUUUAUGUACUGAGAUCUUGUCUGGCUUGUUAUGUGAUUUUUCUCCAUUCCUUCCUGUUAUUCAUUUUUCUUUUCUGACCCUGUAGCACCAUUCUUUCCAAAUCUUUUUCGACCUCUUGCUUCCAUCUAUUUUUCGGCCUUCCUCUUCUCUUUCUUGAAGCUGUAGUGUAGUUUAGUACCAUUUUUGGAGUCCUCGUGUUUGGCAUCCUUUCAAUGUGACCUCGCCAUCUAAGUCUCUGUGCCUUUAUCAUUCAUUUGAAGUUACAAGAUGAAGUGAUUUUUUCCAAUAUAUCGAAAACUAUUAGAGAUUUUUUAUUGAAAAUGGACAUGUGGCAUUAUUAUGGCAGCA
Molecule: long non-coding RNA, 2576 nt
Organism: Diabrotica virgifera virgifera (western corn rootworm)
Lineage: Eukaryota; Metazoa; Arthropoda; Insecta; Coleoptera; Chrysomelidae
Exons: 2
Source: RefSeq, a predicted model, not a curated record